Long non-coding RNA from Mizuhopecten yessoensis (Yesso scallop), 535 nucleotides. RefSeq lists it as uncharacterized. Lineage: Eukaryota; Metazoa; Mollusca; Bivalvia; Pectinida; Pectinidae. The record is from RefSeq and is a predicted model, not a curated record. The transcript has 4 exons.
GUUUCUCCUUAUUUUGGAAACAAGUGCACAUCACAAUGUAGAUGCAAAACAUUUGGUUGUAACCACGCCAAUGGGACAUGUACAAUACCUGGAUGUAUAUCUGGGUGGAAGGGAACGUCAUGCUCAACACAAUGCCCCAUAAACAUGUUUGGAGAAGACUGUCUCCUUACAUGUCAUUGUAUGACCCCCGGAUGUAGCCGCUUCAAUGGAACCUGUUUCUCAUCAGAUGGUUGUAGUGAUGGAUACAUUGGUAGCUCGUGCAGUACAAAAUGCAAAUCAGGACAUUUUGGUGCUAACUGUGCGAAACAAUGUCGUUGUAAGGAUACUGCAUGUAGUCAUGUGACAGGAAACUGCUCUGCAUCCGGAUGUCUGCCAGGCUGGAGGGGUGAAACGUGUAGUGAACGAUGUCCAAAUUCAUCAUAUGGACAAGAUUGUAAGUUAACGUGUGGACAGUGCUUCAACAUGACGGGAUGUCAUCACGAAAAUGGAGAAUGUGAAGAGGGAUGCUUGGAUGGUUACUUUGGCAAUUCCUGCC